RNAcentral lists this ribosomal RNA (428 nucleotides) under uncultured prokaryote. Its description in RNAcentral is "bacterial SSU rRNA". It matches the Rfam family "Bacterial small subunit ribosomal RNA", at positions 355 to 774 of the family's 1533-position model. The record is from RNAcentral.
UGGGGAAUAUUGCGCAAUGGGCGAAAGCCUGACGCAGCGACGCCGCGUGAGGGAAGAAGGCCUUCGGGUCGUAAACCUCUGUCUAGAGGGAAGAAACCAUUGAGGUCGAACAGGCCUCUUUGCUGACGGUACCUCUGAAGGAAGCACCGGCUAACUCCGUGCCAGCAGCCGCGGUAAUACGGAGGGUGCGAGCGUUAAUCGGAAUCACUGGGCGUCAAGCGCACGUAUGCGGUGUCGUAAGUCGGAUGUGAAAGCCCGCGGCUCAACCGGGGAACUGCAUUCGAUACUGCGAUGCUUGAGGGCCGGAGAGGGUGGCGGAAUUCCAGGUGUAGGAGUGAAAUCCGUAGAUAUCUGGAGGAACACCAGUGGCGAAGGCGGCCACCUGGCCGGCAACUGACGCUGAGGGACGAAAGCGUGGGGAUCAAACA